This 465-nucleotide ribosomal RNA is filed under the name uncultured bacterium. RNAcentral's name for it is "partial 16S ribosomal RNA". It matches the Rfam family "Bacterial small subunit ribosomal RNA", at positions 28 to 507 of the family's 1533-position model. The record is from RNAcentral.
GACGAACGCUGGCGGCGUGCUUAACACAUGCAAGUCGAACGGAAAGGCCCCUUUGGGGGUACUCGAGUGGCGAACGGGUGAGUAACACGUGAGUAACCUGCCCUUGACUUCGGGAUAACUUCAGGAAACUGGGGCUAAUACCGGAUAGGAAUCCUUGCUGCAUGGUGGGGGUUGGAAAGCUUCGGCGGUUUUGGAUGGACUCACGGCUUAUCAGCUUGUUGGUGGGGUAGUGGCUUACCAAGGCUUUGACGGGUAGCCGGCCUGAGAGGGCGACCGGCCACAGUGGGACUGAGAUACGGCCCAGACUCCUACGGGAGGCAGCAGUGGGGAAUAUUGCACAAGGGGCGGAAGCCUGAUGCAGCAACGCCGCGUGCGGGAUGACGGCCUUCGGGUUGUAAACCGCUUUCAGCAGGGGCGAAGCUUGUGGUGACGGUACCUGCAGAAGAAGCACCGGCUAACUACGUG